This 2803-nucleotide ribosomal RNA is filed under the name Klebsiella pneumoniae. RNAcentral's name for it is "partial 23S ribosomal RNA". It matches the Rfam family "Bacterial large subunit ribosomal RNA". Lineage: Bacteria; Pseudomonadati; Pseudomonadota; Gammaproteobacteria; Enterobacterales; Enterobacteriaceae. The record is from RNAcentral.
GGGUUGUGAGGUUAAGCGACUAAGCGUACACGGUGGAUGCCCUGGCAGUCAGAGGCGAUGAAGGACGUGCUAAUCUGCGAAAAGCGUCGGUAAGGUGAUAUGAACCGUUAUAACCGGCGAUGUCCGAAUGGGGAAACCCAGUGCAAUUCGUUGCACUAUCGUUAACUGAAUACAUAGGUUAACGAGGCGAACCGGGGGAACUGAAACAUCUAAGUACCCCGAGGAAAAGAAAUCAACCGAGAUUCCCCCAGUAGCGGCGAGCGAACGGGGAGCAGCCCAGAGUCUGAAUCAGCUUGUGUGUUAGUGGAACGGUCUGGAAAGUCCGACGGUACAGGGUGAUAGUCCCGUACACCAAAAUGCACAGGUUGUGAACUCGAAGAGUAGGGCGGGACACGUGGUAUCCUGUCUGAAUAUGGGGGGACCAUCCUCCAAGGCUAAAUACUCCUGACUGACCGAUAGUGAACCAGUACCGUGAGGGAAAGGCGAAAAGAACCCCGGCGAGGGGAGUGAAAAAGAACCUGAAACCGUGUACGUACAAGCAGUGGGAGCACCUUCGGGUGUGACUGCGUACCUUUUGUAUAAUGGGUCAGCGACUUAUAUUCUGUAGCAAGGUUAACCGUAUAGGGGAGCCGCAGGGAAACCGAGUCUUAACUGGGCGUUAAGUUGCAGGGUAUAGACCCGAAACCCGGUGAUCUAGCCAUGGGCAGGUUGAAGGUUGGGUAACACUAACUGGAGGACCGAACCGACUAAUGUUGAAAAAUUAGCGGAUGACUUGUGGCUGGGGGUGAAAGGCCAAUCAAACCGGGAGAUAGCUGGUUCUCCCCGAAAGCUAUUUAGGUAGCGCCUCGUGAACUCAUCUUCGGGGGUAGAGCACUGUUUCGGCUAGGGGGUCAUCCCGACUUACCAACCCGAUGCAAACUACGAAUACCGAAGAAUGUUAUCACGGGAGACACACGGCGGGUGCUAACGUCCGUCGUGAAGAGGGAAACAACCCAGACCGCCAGCUAAGGUCCCAAAGUCAUGGUUAAGUGGGAAACGAUGUGGGAAGGCACAGACAGCCAGGAUGUUGGCUUAGAAGCAGCCAUCAUUUAAAGAAAGCGUAAUAGCUCACUGGUCGAGUCGGCCUGCGCGGAAGAUGUAACGGGGCUAAACCAUGCACCGAAGCUGCGGCAGCGACACUAUGUGUUGUUGGGUAGGGGAGCGUUCUGUAAGCCUGCGAAGGUGUGCUGUGAGGCAUGCUGGAGGUAUCAGAAGUGCGAAUGCUGACAUAAGUAACGAUAAAGCGGGUGAAAAGCCCGCUCGCCGGAAGACCAAGGGUUCCUGUCCAACGUUAAUCGGGGCAGGGUGAGUCGACCCCUAAGGCGAGGCCGAAAGGCGUAGUCGAUGGGAAACAGGUUAAUAUUCCUGUACUUGGUGUUACUGCGAAGGGGGGACGGAGAAGGCUAUGUUAGCCGGGCGACGGUUGUCCCGGUUUAAGCAUGUAGGCUGAUUAUCCAGGCAAAUCCGGAUAAUCAAGGCUGAGGUGUGAUGACGAGGCACUACGGUGCUGAAGUAACAAAUGCCCUGCUUCCAGGAAAAGCCUCUAAGCAUCAGGUAACAUCAAAUCGUACCCCAAACCGACACAGGUGGUCAGGUAGAGAAUACCAAGGCGCUUGAGAGAACUCGGGUGAAGGAACUAGGCAAAAUGGUGCCGUAACUUCGGGAGAAGGCACGCUGGUGUGUAGGUGAAGUCCCUGCGGAUGGAGCUGAGACCAGUCGAAGAUACCAGCUGGCUGCAACUGUUUAUUAAAAACACAGCACUGUGCAAACACGAAAGUGGACGUAUACGGUGUGACGCCUGCCCGGUGCCGGAAGGUUAAUUGAUGGGGUUAUCCGUAAGGAGAAGCUCUUGAUCGAAGCCCCGGUAAACGGCGGCCGUAACUAUAACGGUCCUAAGGUAGCGAAAUUCCUUGUCGGGUAAGUUCCGACCUGCACGAAUGGCGUAAUGAUGGCCAGGCUGUCUCCACCCGAGACUCAGUGAAAUUGAACUCGCUGUGAAGAUGCAGUGUACCCGCGGCAAGACGGAAAGACCCCGUGAACCUUUACUAUAGCUUGACACUGAACAUUGAGCCUUGAUGUGUAGGAUAGGUGGGAGGCUUUGAAGCGUGGACGCCAGUCUGCGUGGAGCCAACCUUGAAAUACCACCCUUUAAUGUUUGAUGUUCUAACGUUGGCCCCUGACCGGGGUUGCGGACAGUGUCUGGUGGGUAGUUUGACUGGGGCGGUCUCCUCCCAAAGCGUAACGGAGGAGCACGAAGGUUAGCUAAUCCUGGUCGGACAUCAGGAGGUUAGUGCAAUGGCAUAAGCUAGCUUGACUGCGAGCGUGACGGCGCGAGCAGGUGCGAAAGCAGGUCAUAGUGAUCCGGUGGUUCUGAAUGGAAGGGCCAUCGCUCAACGGAUAAAAGGUACUCCGGGGAUAACAGGCUGAUACCGCCCAAGAGUUCAUAUCGACGGCGGUGUUUGGCACCUCGAUGUCGGCUCAUCACAUCCUGGGGCUGAAGUAGGUCCCAAGGGUAUGGCUGUUCGCCAUUUAAAGUGGUACGCGAGCUGGGUUUAGAACGUCGUGAGACAGUUCGGUCCCUAUCUGCCGUGGGCGCUGGAGAAUUGAGGGGGGCUGCUCCUAGUACGAGAGGACCGGAGUGGACGCAUCACUGGUGUUCGGGUUGUCAUGCCAAUGGCACUGCCCGGUAGCUAAAUGCGGAAGAGAUAAGUGCUGAAAGCAUCUAAGCACGAAACUUGCCCCGAGAUGAGUUCUCCCUGAGACU